This 279-nucleotide ribosomal RNA is filed under the name uncultured bacterium. RNAcentral describes it as "partial 16S ribosomal RNA". It matches the Rfam family "Bacterial small subunit ribosomal RNA", at positions 506 to 784 of the family's 1533-position model. The record is from RNAcentral.
UGCCAGCAGCCGCGGUAAUACGUAGGGUGCAAGCAUUGAUCGGAAUUAUUGGGCGUAAAGGGCGCGUAGGCGGCCAGGUAAGUCAGAUGUGAAAGCUCGGGGCUCAACCCCGGAAGUGCACUUGAAACAGCAAGACUUGAAUACGGUAGAGGAGAGAGGAAUUCCUGGUGUAGAGGUGAAAUUCGUAGAUAUCAGGAGGAACACCGAUGGCGAAGGCAUCUCUCUGGGCCGAUAUUGACGCUGAGGCGCGAAGGCGUGGGUAGCGAACGGGAUUAGAUA